UACGGAGGAUCCAAGCGUUAUCCGGAAUCAUUGGGUUUAAAGGGUCCGCAGGCGGUUUUGUAAGUCAGUGGUGAAAGCCCAUCGCUCAACGGUGGAACGGCCAUUGAUACUGCAAGACUUGAAUUAUUGGGAAGUAACUAGAAUAUGUAGUGUAGCGGUGAAAUGCUUAGAGAUUACAUGGAAUACCAAUUGCGAAGGCAGGUUACUACCAAUAUAUUGACGCUGAUGGACGAAAGCGUGGGGAGCGAACAGG
Molecule: ribosomal RNA, 253 nt
Filed under: uncultured bacterium
Lineage: Bacteria
Description: partial 16S ribosomal RNA
Rfam family: Bacterial small subunit ribosomal RNA
Source: RNAcentral